RNAcentral lists this ribosomal RNA (572 nucleotides) under saccharomycete sp. GObM1. RNAcentral's name for it is "eukaryotic LSU rRNA". It matches the Rfam family "Eukaryotic large subunit ribosomal RNA", at positions 63 to 647 of the family's 3401-position model. Lineage: Eukaryota; Fungi; Ascomycota; Saccharomycetes. The record is from RNAcentral.
UACCCAGGGUUUGCCUUAGUAACGGCGAAGUGAAGCGGGCAAGAGCUCAAUUUGUGAAAAUCUAGCACCUUCGGGUGUUCGAGUUGUAAUUUCGAAGAAUGUAUCUUUGGAGUUGGCCCUUGUCGUAUGUUCCUUGGAACAGGACGUCACAUGAGGGUGAGAAUCCCGUGCGAUGAGGAGUCCAAUUCUAUGUAAAGUUCCUUCGAAGAGCGAGUUGUUUGGGAAUGCAGCUCUAAGUGGGUGGUAAAUUCCAUCUAAAGCUAAAUAUUGGCGAGAGACCGAUAGCGAACAAGUACAGUGGUGAAAAAGUACGUGAAAUUGUUGAAAGGGAAGGGCUUUUGAUCAGACUUGGUGUUUAGUAUGGAAAGAUGAAAAGAACUUUGAAAAGAGAACUCUCUGCUCCUUGUGGGUGGGGCUCUUGCUUUAUACUGGGCCAGCAUCGGUUUUGAUGGCAGGAUAAUGACUUUGGAACGUGGCUUCAUUCGUGAAGUGUUAUAGCCUUUGUUGAUACUGCCUAUCGAGACCGAGGACUGCGUCUUUGACUAGGAUGCUGGCGUAAUGAUUAAAAGCCG